This 430-nucleotide ribosomal RNA is filed under the name uncultured bacterium. Its description in RNAcentral is "partial 16S ribosomal RNA". It matches the Rfam family "Bacterial small subunit ribosomal RNA", at positions 29 to 504 of the family's 1533-position model. The record is from RNAcentral.
AACGAACGCUGGCGGCAUGCCUAACACAUGCAAGUCGAACGAGACCUUCGGGUCUAGUGGCGCACGGGUGCGUAACGCGUGGGAACCUGCCCUUAGGUUCGGAAUAACUCCCCGAAAGGGGUGCUAAUACCGGAUAAUGUCUUCGGACCAAAGAUUUAUCGCCUUUGGAUGGGCCCGCGUUGGAUUAGCUAGUUGGUAGGGUAAAAGCCUACCAAGGCGACGAUCCAUAGCUGGUCUGAGAGGAUGAUCAGCCACACUGGGACUGAGACACGGCCCAGACUCCUACGGGAGGCAGCAGUGGGGAAUAUUGGACAAUGGGCGAAAGCCUGAUCCAGCAAUGCCGCGUGAGUGAUGAAGGCCUUAGGGUUGUAAAGCUCUUUUACCCGGGAUGAUAAUGACAGUACCGGGAGAAUAAGCUCCGGCUAACUCC